ACAAGCGCAGCAGGUGCCAAGAAAAAAGAAGAUUCGGACAAAAACAAAUCCUCUUUGAGCUGACCUGCUUAUAAAUCGUCCGUUGUACCCAUCGUCCGCGGUUUCUGCGUUGUUCACGUUUUCUGGCUAUUUACGGUUCCAUUUCCAAAAAGGAAUGACGAAGACGAAUAGCAGGUAAGAAGGAAGAACAAACAAAACAAUUUAUCGACUCACGCAAUAUUCCAUUGCCGUACUUGAACUCGAGACUUGCAUACGUGAUUUCGGUUUCGCCUUAAUGCCUCAUUAUUUAUUCUGGCAUGUUAUUUUUUGUACUGUCAUUUUACGUAGUUACGAGAGAAAAUAUUGAAAUAUUCAAUUUUGUGGUGAUUUAACUCGUAAUUUAGCAACCUUGCGUACGUUCCCGCCAUUUGAAAACGAAUUAAUCGUCUGUCCCAAGCAGACACGUGUAAAAUGUUGAUGUGUAUUCGACGAUGUUCGACAAACGACAAAUCUUUGUCAUGUCUUUGUGACAAAGCUGACAAAGCAAAUUCAACAAGAAAAUUGAAAAAAAGCUCUGCAAAAUGCAGAUGCAACUUUACUAUGUCGAAUUUGGGAAGAAGAAUAAUGGCGUUUGGAGGAUUGGGACGAGAUGUUGGAUUCUGUAGCAGCACUAACAAAACGUGACAAGUCUAACAACUAUCUCAGUAUCCGGUUUUGGAUGGAGCUCAGCAGCUGUUUUUUAGUUUUUCGUUUGUUAUCCAAGCGCCGCGAUUCAUUUUUGCGCAUUUUGCUGACUUGGAACGAUUGCCCAGACAUUCAACAAACUGGCGAGACUCCAGCAUUCAAGCCAUAUCACAGUAGACAUAGAUGGGGCUAUCGCCAAUUCCUUGGCCAUCAGGAUCGAUCCAGUACAUUCCGGAGCUGAGUGUUGGAUCACCGGACUGAGCCUCUCUGCAUGUUCUUGGGAUGGCGGCGUGUACGGGGCUUACAGACGCCGAACUGGAACAGGUUUUUCGUUCGUUCUACAUUUCUUCCAGAACACGUUCCAGCCUAGCGAAUUUUUCCGCCAACAUUUCCUGUUGAGAAAAAUUUCAAAAGAUAGCAGUUGCAGUUGUUCUUCCACCUUUAAAGCAGCUGCAUCAGCUGGACAAGCCAAUGCUAACAAUGCUGCCAAUGCUGCGUGGA
Molecule: long non-coding RNA, 1164 nt
Organism: Daphnia pulicaria
Lineage: Eukaryota; Metazoa; Arthropoda; Branchiopoda; Diplostraca; Daphniidae
Exons: 5
Source: RefSeq, a predicted model, not a curated record